CUCGGGACUGAUGAUUUACAUUGCCAUUAUUGAGGGGCUGCGGAAAGCAAACGCAGCCUCGUCAUGAAAAAAUAUUGUACUUCUGAACGCUUGGCUUCUGACCCGAG
This 107-nucleotide small nucleolar RNA is filed under the name Chlamydomonas reinhardtii. RNAcentral describes it as "CrCD07a snoRNA". Lineage: Eukaryota; Viridiplantae; Chlorophyta; Chlorophyceae; Chlamydomonadales; Chlamydomonadaceae. The record is from RNAcentral.